GACGAACGCUGGCGGCGUGCUUAACACAUGCAAGUCGAACGGAAAGGCCCUGCUUUUGUGGGGUGCUCGAGUGGCGAACGGGUGAGUAACACGUGAGUAACCUGCCCUUGACUUUGGGAUAACUUCAGGAAACUGGGGCUAAUACCGGAUAGGAGCUCCUGCUGCAUGGUGGGGGUUGGAAAGUUUCGGCGGUUGGGGAUGGACUCGCGGCUUAUCAGCUUGUUGGUGGGGUAGUGGUUUACCAAGGCUUUGACGGGUAGCCGGCCUGAGAGGGUGACCGGGCACCUUGGGACUGAGAGACGGCCCAGACUGCUACGGGAGGCAGCAGUGGGGAAUAUUGCACAAUGGGCGGAAGCCUGAUGCAGCAACGCCGCGUGCGGGAUGACGGCCUUCGGGUUGUAAACCGCUUUCGCCUGUGACGAAGCGUGAGUGACGGUAAUGGGUAAAGAAGCACCGGCUAACUACGUG
RNAcentral lists this ribosomal RNA (468 nucleotides) under uncultured bacterium. RNAcentral describes it as "partial 16S ribosomal RNA". It matches the Rfam family "Bacterial small subunit ribosomal RNA", at positions 28 to 507 of the family's 1533-position model. The record is from RNAcentral.